CUGCGGAGGAUCAUUGUCGAGUCCCUCUUUAUGAGAUUGAGAACGUGUAGCAUUACCCAUCGAGAACAAGCCAGUUUUGCAUGUGCACUCGGCUUUCUAGAUGGAUGUCCUUUUGCCGCCUUUGGCUUGCUUUAUUCGAGGCAACACGGGGAGCGGGAAUUAGACCCGGCGUAGUUUACGCCAAGGACGGUUGUUGUUGGAGUGCACCGUCUUCUUUUUGUUGUGCGGUGUAAUUCUCCUACUAGUGUGAGAAUAUGCAUGACUCUUGGCAACGGAUAUCUAGGCUCUCGCGUCGAUGAAGAACGUAGCGAAAUGCGAUACUUGGUGUGAAUUGCAGAAUCCCGUGAACCAUCGAGUCUUUGAACGCAAGUUGCGCCUAAGACCAUCAGGUCGAGGGCACGUCUGCUUGGGCGUCACGCCUUGCGUCACUCAGAGCACCUACCUACCUUAAACCGUCAUGCGGGUUUCGGUUUGUCCUGAUGUGGAUAUUGACUCUUCGCGCUCUGUACGCGUGGUGGGUUUAAGUGAUGGUUGUUGCUAGGUUUGCACGCGACGAAUGGUGGAUAGAUUAUACUCAUCAAGCCUCCAGCUACGCACGUGACUCCUAGCCAUGACGUACAAGAAGUAAAACCCACAACGAUGUUUGCACCUUUUGCAAGAUCGGACCAUGACCCCAGGUCAGGCGGGGCCACCCGCUGAGUUUAAGCAUA
Molecule: ribosomal RNA, 710 nt
Filed under: Allium kingdonii
Lineage: Eukaryota; Viridiplantae; Streptophyta; Magnoliopsida; Asparagales; Amaryllidaceae
Description: eukaryotic LSU rRNA
Rfam family: 5.8S ribosomal RNA (bases 261-416)
Source: RNAcentral